This 29-nucleotide non-coding RNA is filed under the name Homo sapiens (human). Lineage: Eukaryota; Metazoa; Chordata; Mammalia; Primates; Hominidae. The record is from RNAcentral.
UGAACCCAGGAGGUAGGGGCUGCAGUGAG